RNAcentral lists this ribosomal RNA (360 nucleotides) under uncultured bacterium. Its description in RNAcentral is "partial 16S ribosomal RNA". It matches the Rfam family "Bacterial small subunit ribosomal RNA", at positions 338 to 715 of the family's 1533-position model. The record is from RNAcentral.
CCUACGGGUGGCAGCAGUAGGGAAUAUUGCUCAAUGGGGGAAACCCUGAAGCAGCAACGCCGCGUGGAGGAUGAAGGUUUUCGGAUUGUAAACUCCUUUUGUUAGAGAAGAUAAUGACGGUAUCUAACGAAUAAGCACCGGCUAACUCCGUGCCAGCAGCCGCGGUAAUACGGAGGGUGCAAGCGUUACUCGGAAUCACUGGGCGUAAAGAGCGCGUAGGCGGGAUAGCAAGUCAGAUGUGAAAUCCUAUGGCUUAACCAUAGAACUGAAUUUGAAACUGUUAUUCUAGAGUAUGGGAGAGGUGGGUGGAAUUCUGGGUGGAGGGGAAAAUUCCGGAGAAAUAAAAAGGAAAACUCAUGG